UCAUGUGGUUAUUGAUAAUGGGAAGAAAUGUACUGUUAGUGUGGAUUAUUUGUGGAAGCCUCCACAAUGCAGUGUGUUCGACGUUUUGUCACAACGAAAACAAGUUCCCAAAGAGAGUGAUUGCUUCAUCUCCUGUUGUGACUUACACUCCCAAAAUUAAAGAUAAGGCUAACUAUUGUCCUUCAGGUCAACAAGAUAUUGUGAUGCAAGUGUUUCCUACUAUUGUGAAGAUUGGUCCCAUGUUACUCAUGAAAAGAAGUCUAUGAAGAUUAGUACUGAUUUUACUAUUAAGGAUAAUGUCUCGGUGGUUCUGGAUUCUCCUAUGUUCCCUCCUGGAUUUGAGCCGGAUAUGACUCAUAUUGAUCUUAGUCAGCUUCAUAUUCUACAUAACACAUUUUCACCUCUUCUUAAAGAUGUAGUUGUUGAGGAGGUGGUACAAAAAUACACAGUGACCAAGCCAUGAAGGAGAAUGACACUCCUUUAACCCUGAAGAGCUCAGUAUAAUAGCUAGUGUUGUUGGUAAACCUCUACUACUGGAUGGACCUACUGCUGCUCGAACAAGAAUAGCAUAUGCCCGAGUAUGUGUGGAAAUCAAUCCUAAGUCUGAGUUGAAGAAGACAAUUCAUGUGGUUUUUUAUAAUGGGAAGAAAUGUACUGUUAGUGUAAGUUAUGUGUGGAAACCUCCACGAUACUCAGGUGCUCGACGUUUUGUCACAACGAGAACAAGUGCCCAAAGAGGGUGAUUGCUUCACCUCCUGCUGUGAUGUACACUCCCAAAAUUAAAGAUAAGGAUAACUACUUUCCUUCAGGUCAACAAGAUAUUGUGAUUCAGGUGUUGCCUAUUAUUGAGAAAGAUUGAUCCCAUGUUACUCAUAAGAGGAAGUCUAUGAAGAUUGGUAGUGACUUUACAGUUAAGGAUCAUGUAUCGGUGGUUCAGGAUUCCCAUACGUUCUCUCCGGCCUGGAUUUUAGCGGGAUAGCACUCAUGUGGAUCUUGUUCAGCUUCAGAUUCCACAUAUCACCUUUUCACCUCUUCUUGAAGAUGUAGUUGUUGAGGAGAUGGUACAAGAAAUACACAGUGACCAAUCCAUGAAGGAAAUCACAAAAAAUUGUGGGGGGUGACUCUUCUGAGGGUAUGGUUGGAUUUAAACAGAUUAGAGAUGCGUUUAGGAAUGGCUCACAAGGUUCUUCAAGAAAGAAUGAGGUGUUUCGUUUAUGGGUGUUAGAGGUACUGACCUUAAGAAAUUAGGUUGGGUUCGCCAUUCCUCCUCAAGGAUUGUCAGUCAUGAUUAAUCUAGAAUGUCGGAAUACAAGAGGGCUCAAUGACCCUCUAAAGAAGGUGGAGCAAGCAGGAUGCCCACACAAGAUUACCUGCAAGCUGGGCAGGGUUAUGAUCAAUUUUUGCAAUGGAUGAGUCAGUUUCCUUGUUCAGUUGCGUACUUUCUUCCUAGUGGUAUUUCUGAUCACUCCCCCAUGAUUCUCAGUGUGUUCUAUGGUAGAGCCAAUGGUCCUAAGGCUUAUAGGUACUAUAACACUUGGGCUGAAGAUGAAGAUUUCAUAGCAGUUAUAGAGGAGGCUUAGAAACUAGAAGUUCAAGGAACUCCCAUGUUCAGGUUUGUGUCUAGAUUGAAGAAUGUCAAACAAUUUCUAAUUACUCAGAGAAGAGAAGGUUUACUAAUUUGAGUGCUCAAGUUGGUGUUGCUAAGGAUCAUCUUGAGACUAUGCAGAAAAGUCUUCAGGUUAAUCCUUUUUGUCUUGUCAAUAUUUCUACUGAGAGAAAUGCAGUUCAGGAUUAUGCUAAAAAUGUGAGAUAUGAGGAGUCUAUGAAGAGGCAACCAUCUAGCGUUCAAUGACUCAAGUUGGAUGAAAACGAUACUCGAUCCUAUUUUUAUAAUUCUAUUGUGUAAAGAAGAGCUACAAACAUAAUUCUAGUCAUCUAUGACUCUGGGGGUACUAAGCUCUCUACGGAUGAAUAAAUUGGCCAGGGAUGUGUGUCGUACUAUACAAAGCUGUUUGGAAAACAAUUUGAUGUGCAUAUUGAUGCUGCUGCUUGGGAACAUAUUGAGCUGAGUAAGCAUGUUUCUUUGGGAGAAGAUGACCUUUUAACCCUGCCAGUCACUAAUAAUGAGAUAUUUUUCGCUUUGUUUACUAUUGUUUCGGAUAAGGCCCCUGGCACAUAUGGAUUUUCCUCUCAUUUUUUCAAGUGCUGUUAGAGAAUUAUUGGAUCUGAUUUUAUUAAAGCUGUGAAGAGAUGCUUCUCGAGUGUAAAAUUCCUAGGUGAGGUAAAUGCCACUUUUAUUUCCUUGAUUCCUAAGACUACUAAUGCUUCUAUGUUGAAUGAUUUUAGACCCAUUUCCUGCUGUAAUGUGUUGCAUAAGUGCAUUCUUAACUAUUCGGCGUAA
Molecule: long non-coding RNA, 2401 nt
Organism: Papaver somniferum (opium poppy)
Lineage: Eukaryota; Viridiplantae; Streptophyta; Magnoliopsida; Ranunculales; Papaveraceae
Exons: 2
Source: RefSeq, a predicted model, not a curated record